CUGCAGUAGUUACCAGCCAGCUGUCUGGCCUUCCCAUCUGCUGUGAGGCACCACCCACGAGCGAGGCAGCAGAAGAGAAGAAAUGCACUUGUGGAGCAGUGGAUGAGGCCAAGCCUGCAGUUUUUUUGGAGGUGAGUGGGAGACAACUCCAAUAUUUAAUUAUCUGCUCCAGCAAUCCUUGACAUCAGCUGAUCACCUAAUAUUACCAGUUGGAGGUUGGGAUUUAAUUUUAUUGAUGGUACAGUCAUCUCUGAAGACUCAUUGUCUAGGAAACAGUGGACUAGCUUUACACGUGGCAUGGUUUGGAGCCGCAGGGGGAGUAGAGCUGCCGCGGCCGGGCCAGCCACCUCCGGGUCCAUGAGCCGCCGCCAGCCGCCGUCGCCAGCCGGGACUGCCGCCACCGCCGGGCCCAGCUCCCCCAGCCCCGCCGCCGCUUCCGCCGCCGCUCCGCCGCCCUGUCGGAGGUGAGUCCCGCGGCCGGGCCCGCCGCCGCCCGCUCUCUUCAACGCCGCCCGCGGGCCCCGGUUCCUGUCA
Molecule: long non-coding RNA, 534 nt
Filed under: Aquila chrysaetos chrysaetos
Lineage: Eukaryota; Metazoa; Chordata; Aves; Accipitriformes; Accipitridae
Description: lncRNA (ENSACCG00020008755.1)
Source: RNAcentral